GGGAGGCUUCUUCUGGUUAUGUAUAUUGUUGAGUAAAUGUUUUAUGUCAAUCAGUCGUAGUAAACUUGGGUUAUCAUCAUGACGUAGGAAAGUGUAACAAACAGUUAGAAUGAGUGAAUACUAUAGGGCGUGAACAUUAUUUUUUUUUUAUGGCGGUAGCUCUUUUAAAUUAUGGUUACAUCUCAGUCAGGGUAUUCAUACGACUCAUUGCUUACAUGAUUUUAUUAAAAGGAAUUACGAAGGUUUACUCAUUUUUAUUUUAAAUCAUCAAAACCAGUGUAUAAAUCAGAAAGUAACAUGUAAGGUGUCACAAGUUGAAGCGCUCUUUCAUCUCCAAGUCCCAUGCAAUUAAGAACUCUGAACUGAUAUAAAAAAAGCCUUGGUCCAUCUUUACAUUUCUGAAGUCUUAGACUAGCAAAUUUGACAUCAAUUUGAGAACCAAGUCAUCAUUUUUCGGCCUCUUCUACCAGGCCACACUGUUCAGUUAUUUUACGAAUUGCAAAAUGUAAAGGUACUUUAUAUUUCACGAUUCCGUCCAGGCACUCAGGGUCAAUAUAACUUAUCAAACAUUCCACAUACUUCUGAAUUAUUUUCAUCAUAGGAC
RNAcentral lists this long non-coding RNA (604 nucleotides) under Mytilus galloprovincialis (Mediterranean mussel). Lineage: Eukaryota; Metazoa; Mollusca; Bivalvia; Mytilida; Mytilidae. The record is from RNAcentral.